UACGUAGGCAGCGAGCGUUGUUCGGAGUUACUGGGCGUAAAGGGCGUGUAGGCGGUUGUUUAAGUUUGGUGUGAAAUCUCCCGGCUCAACUGGGAGGGUGCGCCGAAUACUGAAUGACUAGAGUGCGGGAGAGGAAAGUGGAAUUCCUGGUGUAGCGGUGAAAUGCGUAGAUAUCAGGAGGAACACCGGUGGUGUAGACGGCUUUCUGGACUGUGAUUGACGCUGAGGCGCGAAAGCGUGGGGAGCAAACAGG
Molecule: ribosomal RNA, 253 nt
Filed under: uncultured bacterium
Lineage: Bacteria
Description: partial 16S ribosomal RNA
Rfam family: Bacterial small subunit ribosomal RNA
Source: RNAcentral